RNAcentral lists this ribosomal RNA (776 nucleotides) under uncultured Neocallimastigales. Its description in RNAcentral is "partial large subunit ribosomal RNA". It matches the Rfam family "Eukaryotic large subunit ribosomal RNA", at positions 22 to 642 of the family's 3401-position model. Lineage: Eukaryota; Fungi; Neocallimastigomycota; Neocallimastigomycetes; Neocallimastigales. The record is from RNAcentral.
CAUAGCGACUAUCGUGGCAUAUCAAUAAGCGGAGGAAAAGAAACUAACUAGGAUUCCCUUAGUAACGGCGAGUGAAGCGGGAAGAGCUCAAAUUUGAAAUCUUCAAGGUUCUACCUUGACGAAUUGUAGUUUAAAGAAGUGUUUUCUGUUGAAGUUUUGGUAAAAGUUCUUUGGAAUAGGACAUCAUAGAGGGUGAGAAUCCCGUAUUUGACCAUUACUUUUCCAGCUGUGUGAUACACUUUCAAAGAGUCGGAUUGUUUGGGAAUGCAGUCCAAAGAUGGGUGGUAAAUUUCAUCUAAAGCUAAAUAUUGGCGAGAGACCGAUAGCGAACAAGUACCGUGAGGGAAAGAUGAAAAGAACUUUGAAAAGAGAGUUAAACAGUACGUGAAAUUGUCAAAAGGGAAGCGUUUGACACCAGUGUUGUUUUUCCGAAAAUCAAUUAUGAAUGGCUUGAUUUUAAGUUUCAUGACCUUAAAAGCUUGUUUCUUAUUUUUCAUGUCUUUCGUAGUGCACUUUUCGGUUAACAAGUCAACAUCAAUUUCUUUUGUUGUAAAAGGUUAAGAGGAAGGUGGCUUUACUUUCGGGUAAAGUGUUUAUAGCCUUUUAACUCUGCAAUCGGAGAGAUUGAGGUCUGCAGCGUAGAUCCUUCGGGGUUAGAUACGUUUGUGCUAAGUUAUAGCUUUUCAUAGACAACUUGUUGACUAUGUUAAGUCUUGUAAUUUACUCGCAGAUGCUAUUUUACCUACGCUUAGGAUGUUGAUAGUCACAGCGUGUAC